UUGCUAACCUCACAUGGCAAAAGUAACAUUGUAGUAGCGGUGGAUCACCUAAGUAAAUUAGUGCAUUUUAUAGCAUUAGUUCAUUCAUAUACUGCCAAAACCAUUACUGAGACUUCUAUUAACACGAUUGUAAAGGUGCAUGGCAUGCCUCGCUCCAUAGUAAUGAUGUCUAAAACCUAACUCAAAUAUCAAUUUCUCUUAUCACCCUUAGACCGAUGGACAAUGCAAAGUAACUAACUAGAAUUUGGAGCAAUAUCUUCGAUGUCUAUGUCACUAGCAACCCCGCCGUUGUAGUACCUCACUAUUAUAGGUAGAGUAGUGGUACAACACAACAUUCUAUUCCAUCAAAAUAACACAUUUCCAAGCAAUAUAUGGAUGACCACCUCCUACUAUUCCCUUUUACCACACUUGCACUUCUCUUAUAAAUGAGGUGGAUAUUCGACUGACCAACCGAGAUGAACCGUUGCAUCAACUCAAAAUAAACUUACAAGCCCCCACCAACUG
This 504-nucleotide long non-coding RNA is filed under the name Carica papaya (papaya). RNAcentral's name for it is "long non-coding RNA (CPAP_LNC010464)". The record is from RNAcentral. Lineage: Eukaryota; Viridiplantae; Streptophyta; Magnoliopsida; Brassicales; Caricaceae.